UAAGGCUCUGUUUGGAUUGAUGGUACACAAUGGAGCGGAGCGGAAUGGAAUAAAACGGAAUGAAACGGAACGGAGUGGAAUGGAAGAGAGAUUCCAUUCCAUCAUUUGGAUAUUUUGUGACAGAAAAAACUAAUAUCUCGCUCUAUUGUUUGGAAAGUGGACGGAAUGGAAUGAAUUAUAAUUUUUUAUUCUAAUUUUACCCUUUAUUUAUAAAACAUUUAUAAAACAUUGAUAUUUUGAAUUUUUUGAAAAUCUCUUCUUCAACACUCCAAAAUCCAAAUACAUAUUCAAUCGACAUUCUUAAUAACUAUCAAAGAAUAAAAUCAACUUCAAUUAUGAAUUCAUACAUAAACAAAUCAAACCAUGUUUAAAAGAAACAAAUUAAAUCAAGUCAAACAACAUUUAUUUAUCAACUUCAUAAGAACUAAAGUAAAUGACUUUGCUAUACUC
Molecule: long non-coding RNA, 450 nt
Filed under: Trifolium pratense (red clover)
Lineage: Eukaryota; Viridiplantae; Streptophyta; Magnoliopsida; Fabales; Fabaceae
Description: long non-coding RNA (TPRA_LNC000036)
Source: RNAcentral